CUUUAAUGUUGCUUUAAAGAAACAGACAUAGGCUACCCUCACUAAAGUUACCUGUAGCAGUUUCCAUCAUCAAAAUCGGACAUGCUCUACAGGCAAUAGUAUUUAGCAGUAAAGCCACCUAUCUGGAAGUGGUCUAAUGUCUUAAAUUGUUCAAAUCCUAAACUGGUACAAACACCCAGUUGUGAAGAAGCGGAAUGAUAUUUGCAUAAUUUGACCUACAGUAGGCCUAUGUGGGCAGUGAUGCCAUGCUGCAGCGAUAUUUAACUUAAUGUCAUUGUGACCAAUUUUCUUUUUGCAUUUUCAGAUUUGUGCAGAAUUCCACCGGAUAACAAGUACAAACUUAAAGAGUACAUUUUAUUCUGCAUUUGAUAAGUAUAUGCCACGGCUCAUAACAUUGUACCGUGAAAAAGCGGCCCGCACUGGCAAAACUUCUGAAUUGCUAAGAAACAUCUUCAGGACUUAUGAUCUCCUUGAAGCCGUUGAUGUUAACAGCAGACGUACAAUUGCUCUGCGGGCACUUCCCAUUUUCCUGCGUGAAGAUGCUGAUGGAUUUUUUAAGACCUGGAAUGCAGAAGACAUUGACCUGCCAGACCUCUCAGAUACGGCUGUAGCUGUUCUCACUGUCUCAAAUGACACAGUCUCCCUUGUGAAGUUUGGUCCUGCGAUACAUUCUAUUGUUCUCGAGGGAGAUAUUGUGGUGUGUGAUAUAGCACAGUUGACCGAGGCAUUCAUUUUGCUUUUUGGCCUGAUUUAUGCUCUACAUCUAGACUAUCCAAAGCAAUUGUCGUACACGUUCAAUUUUAUUCAAAAAAUUAUAAUGGGUUUGGAUGACCUGAAGCGGUUACCUCCGAGGCUGCUUAGUCUGAAAAAUGAUCUACUGAUGAUGGAUGAGUAGUCUGCUUAAUAUAUGUCAUUGUUGGUACUGCCAGCAUGGUGAUACUCAAGCAACCAUUUUGUUUUUGUUUUCACUUUUUUUUUUUUUUAUCUCGGCCUAUUGUUGUUGGCCUAUUAUUUUUUGGAUUGGCCUAUUGUGUUGGCCUAUUUUUUUGUUUGUUUGUUAUUUGGAGUAUUACUUGUAUUACCUUGAUUGAAAAUAUGGUUGUUAUUUCUUUAGUUUCUAUACUAACCCCAUUGCUGGGCACGUUGUUCUGAAUUCAAAUGGAAUUGUUAAAAUAAACAUAAUCUGCAUUGACAUUGUGUUUUGAAUAUUUCUUUUAUUUGAAUCAUACAAAUAAAAUAUGUUUGCUUUUGAGGAAAA
Sardina pilchardus (European sardine) is the source of this 1258-nucleotide long non-coding RNA. RefSeq lists it as uncharacterized. NCBI's taxonomy places the organism in Eukaryota, Metazoa, Chordata, Actinopteri, Clupeiformes, Clupeidae. The record is from RefSeq and is a predicted model, not a curated record. The transcript has 3 exons.